This is a non-coding RNA of Chrysemys picta bellii (western painted turtle), 3414 nucleotides long. NCBI's taxonomy places the organism in Eukaryota, Metazoa, Chordata, Testudines, Emydidae. The record is from RefSeq and is a predicted model, not a curated record.
AAAGUAAGGGCUCAGAUGUCAUCUUUUAGUGCCUUGGACAGUGUGACCUCCCUGUAAACAGGGAUCUGGUCUCUCCAUUUAAGUUGAGUUCCUUUUACUGGGCUGAUGACAAUGAUUGUCCUUUAAGGAGGUGAAUUUAGCUCAGGUACCUGUGACUCACAGGAAGUACAGCAUCCCUUAGUACUUGGGCAGUGUGGCCACCCUGUAUAGAGGGUUCAGGUCUCUGCCUUUUGUUCUUUUGCCACCAUGCUACUUCAGCCAUUUGGUUUGAGUCCUGACCCUCUAAUUAAGGGAUUGUUUGUGUCCUUCUGCCUUCUGGGGGAUAUUGAGCUCUGUGGACCCCUGAGCAGUGUGACCGCCCUGUAACUAGGGUCCAGGUCUUUGCCAUUUGCUUUUUUGGCAUUAGGCCAUGCUUGGCCCACUAGUCAGCAUGACAGCCCUGUAAUUAGGGUGCAUGUCACAAGUAACUAUAGAAUAGGACAUAUUGAGUCCUUUGGUACUUUGAGGAGCUCGACCUUCCUGUAAUUCAGGUUACGGUCUCUGCUAUUUGGCUAAUCCCAGCGACCACCCUGUAAUCAGGGUACAGGUUGCAUCUCCCUUUUGAAUUCUUUGGAAUUGGAACAUGUAACAUGGGCAGUUUGACCUCCCUGUAACUAGGGUUUGGUCUCCGAGGCCCUUUGGGUCUCUUGGCAUUGUGCUUUCCUCACAGCCCGAGGCGAGUGACCGCCCUGUAAUCAGGGAUCUGGUCUUUGCCCUCUAUUCUCUUGGCACUAGGUCAAGCGCAGCCCACUGAUCUGAAUGAGCACCCUGUAAACAGGGUACAGGUCUCAUCAGACACUAUUUAUGGUGUCCCCAUGAGACAGUGUCCAGAGUCCUGGCCCUUUGCACUGUGCUUCCAACUUGCCUGGAAUUGUGCAGCCAAGUCUCCUGCUUUCUGCUCCGCUUACUGUGCUCUGGGAGAUCCGACAUCCUGCUGCUGUUGCUGGCAGCUCCGAGCACAAGUGGAUAAGAAGGAAGUGUCAGAAACGUCAAGCAAAGAAGAAUAACGAGGACAAGUCACUGAAGAUGGAGGAGAAGGAAAGGGACUCUGGGCACAGUAACCUCCCUGUAUCAGGCCUCAGGUCAUGUAAUUACACUGUACGGGGAUCUCGAGCCUUUUAAUACCUUGAGCAGCGUGACCACCUUGUAAUCAGGGUCCAGGUCUGUGCUGUUUUGUCCUUUCAACAUUAUGCUCCAUUAGCUGGCUAGUGAGAGUGACUGCCCUGUAAUCAGGGUGCAAGUCACCCCCUCCCCUCGCUUUCGAGGGAAUUGAGCUCUUUGGUAACUUGAGCAAUGUGACCGCCCUGUAACUAGGGUCCAGGUCUUUGCCCGCUUGCUCGUUUGGCAUUACGCCGUACACUGGCCGACUACUCAGUGUGACCGCCCUGUAAUUAGGGAGCAGGUCACAAAUAUCUAUAGAAUGGGACAUAUUGAGUCCUUUGGUACUUUGAGGAGCUCGACCUUCCUGUAAUUCAGGUUACGGUCUCUGCUAUUUUGCUAAUUCCAGCGACCACUCUGUAAUCAGGGCACAGGUGGCAUCUCUCUUUUGAAAUCUUUGGAAUUGGAACCAUUUCAGUAACAUGGGCAGUUUGAACUCCCUGUAACUAGGGUUUGGUCUCCGAGGCCCUUUGGUCUCUUGGCAUUGUGCUUUCUUCACAGCCUGAGGCGAGUGACCGCCCUGUAAUAAGGGAAUCUGGUCUUGGCCCUCUGGUCUCUUCGCACUAGGUCAAGUGCAGCCCACUGAUCUGAAUGAGCACCCUGUAAACAGGGUACAGGUCUCAUCAGACACUAUUUAUGGUGCCCCCAUGAGACUGUGUCCAGAGUCCUGGCCCUUCACACUGCGCUUCCAACUUGCCUGGAAUUGUGCAGCCAAGUCUCCUGCUUUCUGCUCCGCUUACUGUGCUCUUGGAGACCCGACAUCCUGCUGCUGUUGCUGGCAGCUCCAAGCACAAGGGGACAAGAAGGAAGUGUGAGGAAUGUCAAGCAAAGAGGAGGAAAGAGGACAAGUCACUGAAGAUGGAGGAGAAGGAAAGGGACUCUGGGCACUGUAACCUCCCUGUAUCAAGCCUCAGGUCAUGUAAUUACACUGUAUGGGGAUCUCGAGCCUUUUAAUACCUUGAGCAGCGUGACCGCCCUGUAAUCAGGGUCCAGGUCUGUGCUGUUUUGUCCUUUCAACAUUAUGCUCCAUUAGCUGGCUAGUGAGAGUGACUGCCCUGUAAUCAGGGUUCAAGUCACCCCCUCCCCUCGCUUUCGAGGGAAUUGAGCUCUUUGGUAACUUGAGCAAUGUGACCGCCCUGUAACUAGGGUCCAGGUCUUUGCCCGCUUGCUCGUUUAGCAUUACGCCUUGUUGUGGCCCUCUAGUCAGGAUGACAACCCUGUAAUCAGGGUACAAGUCAUAUUUCUUUUGCUUCUGGGGGAUACUGAGCUCUUUGGAACCCUGAGCCGUGUGACUCACCUCCCUGUAAUUCGGAGUCAGGUCUCUGCCCUCUUGCUGUUUUGGCAUCACGUCCUUCUGACAGUCUCGUCAAAGUGACCACCUGUAAUUCGGCUGCAUGUCACAAGUUUCUGUAGUCUGGGAAGUACUUAGCCCUUUGAUACCUUGUGGAGCGUGACCGCCCUGUAAUACGGGGUCGGGUCUCUGCCCUUUUGCUCUCUGGCUUUAUGCACCUUUAUCGUUCUAAUCAGAGUGACCACCCCGUAAUUAGGGUGCAGGUCGAAUCUCUCUCAUUUAUCAGGGAUGAGGGUUAUUUUAGGGUCCUUAGGAGCGUGACCGCCCUGUAAUCAGGGUUCAGGUCUAAAGUUGUCUUCUGUGAUUAUCCUCUUUAAUUCAGCUAGUCAGAGUGACCACCUUGUAAUCAGGGUUGAGAGUCACCUUCCCCUCACUUAUGGGAGCUACUGAUGCUUUGUUACUUGAGCCGUGUGACCUCCCUGUAACUAGGGUUCAGGUCUCUGUCCUUUGCUCAUCUGGGAUUGUGUCUUGUUCUCAGCUUGGUCAGUUUGACUGCCCUGUAAUUAGGGUGCAGGUCAUGUGCCUCUUAUUUAGAGAGGACUAGAUUCCCCUUAAUGCGUUGGGCUGAGUGACCACCCUGUAAGUAGGGUUCAGGUCUCCUCCUUUUCUCUUACUUGUGAUAUAUUUUCCAUUAAUUGGCUAGCCCGAGGGACCGCCCUGUAAGAAGGGUUCAGGUCCUUUCCCUUUUGGCUCCUUUGGAUUGUUGGGCUAGUCACUUGGACCCGCCCUGUAAUCAGGGUGCAGGUCUUGUCUCUUUUCCCCUUGUUUUUUUGAGGGGAGGAAGAUUGUUCGAGUUUAACAGAGGGUCGAGUGACCCGUUGCGAUGAGCUCUCUUUCUGUUCUGGGAAGUCCCCCUUUGUUUUAUA